RNAcentral lists this ribosomal RNA (253 nucleotides) under uncultured bacterium. RNAcentral's name for it is "partial 16S ribosomal RNA". It matches the Rfam family "Bacterial small subunit ribosomal RNA", at positions 524 to 776 of the family's 1533-position model. The record is from RNAcentral.
UACGGAGGGUGCAAGCGUUACUCGGAAUCACUGGGCGUAAGGGGCGCGUAUGCGGCCAAGCAAGUCUGGUGUGAAAGCCCAGGGCUCAACCCUGGAAGGGCACUGGAAACUGUUAGGCUUGAGUUCCGGAGAGGAGGGGGGAAUUCCCAGUGUAGCGGUGAUAUGCGUAGAUGUCGGGAGGAAUACCGGUGGCGAAGGCGCCCCUCUGGACGGAAACUGACGCUGAGGCGAGAAAGCGUGGGGAGCAAACAGG